UAAAGCCUCACGCUUAAAAAGAAAAAUUAGCGCAAAUCACUCUGACUUUAUGCCUUUUAGUCAGAGAAAAUAAAUAAUAUAUUCAAACGGGACCAGAUCCGGAGCCGCAAAAUAGCAGUGUUUCCUUGCCGGUGGUGCAGACAAGAACGGGAGGGAUGAGCUGGGAGGCUCGAGCAGGAGGGGCGGAGGGGCUCUAAGCCCCACGCUGCGAGUGGGGUUGCAGGGAAAGUUGCCGGGUCCUGCGUGCUGAGCCGCCUGGGCCGUGCAUAGGCGGCGGCAGCGGGGCAGCCAACUCCGGGGCCCGGCCGCCGCUCGACCUCGGGCUGGAGCCCCACUACACCCGCAGCGGCCCAGCCCGGCCCGACUCGCGGCCUCGGCAGCUCUCUGGCCUGCGCGGCGUGGGCACGCCCGACCCCGAAACUUUCGCCCGGGGCCGUGGGCGGGAGGCGAGGACGCAAGGUCCUGGGCCGGCGCGGGGCGUGCGUCCACGCAGCCCACGGGCGAGGGCUCGCACCGCCCGCCGCGUCCGAGGGGCGCUGCCCGGCCCGGCCCGCAAGCUGGCACAAAACAAAAGUAAGAGUUCGGGGCGUCGGCGGGGGGCGCGGUGGCGCGGGAGGGCGCAGGCAGACAGGGCGCCCCGGUACAGCCGGCGUGCGGGGCUUGCGGGGCUCAGCCGCCCCUCCCCGGCGCGGAGGAACCGCCGGCACCGCGCUCCGCGCCGCAGACGCCGAGUCCAGAUUGCAGCGUGUCAGGGGCUGCAGCCGCGGCCACACGUGCGGGGCACCCGCAAGCCCCGGCACUCCGCAGUCCGGCGCCCCGAUAUUAAUUAACGCAUUAAUAAGAGGGCGCCAUUAGCCAUGUGCCCACACAAAUGGCCGAGCAGGAGGAAUGCACCCGCAUGGAAACAAAGUUACUUUCUUAAAGCUGCAGCCCCCCCCCCCCGCACACGCGCGCGCACACACAGAAACACGCGCAGACACGGCUCCCGCCGAGGCACACGGCCGCCCCGCGCCCCCGCAGCUGCUUACCUGGGCGAGUGUUGAAGAAUGCAAUGGGAAGUUCCUGGGCGAACAUCUGGUGAAGACAUUCUAAGAACACAUCUGAAAUGAAGAAAGCAGUGCCUCAUUCCCUUUAAUCCCACCUGCAUAAGGAGACAGCCUGUUCUACUUCCUACCAGGAGAACCACCCAGUCAAGGCACUUAGGCCUGCACAAGGCAGAACUUGAAAACAUCAUGUAAGUGGUUCCUUUGUUUUUGUUUUUCCCUCUAAAAUUCUUCAGCCAAGUUGACAAGUUAGACUCCAGGCUCAUGGCUGGUGGAAGUAUUUGUGUCCUGUCUCUUCUGUUAUCCUUAAUAGACAAAACAGUAAAGCAUGCAAAUGCUGCCAAUAUCCCCAUGCGGUGAAAAUGAACUUCUUAAGCCUGCGUUGUCUAAACUGAGACCUAAAUCCAUUCAGGUGUUAAGUGGGACAAACACCCUUUCCUGUAACAAGAUGCCUCCGCUGUUAGAAGAGCACAAAACUGAACCAAAAACCUUGUUUUCACUUGGACUUGAUGUGGCUUGUAAGGACUGAGAAAAGCCUUGUGGUAGUUAUUGGCUAGCAUAGAAUAUAGCAGUUCCCAGGGGAAAGGCUGAACAUCUACCCAGGAUGACAGGGACAGAGCCAGUGGGUGGGUCUCUGCAGGGUCUCUUAGAGGGCCUUGGCAGGCAGAGUGGCUGCUCUUUUGCUGACUUUGCAUUUCAGGCUCUAUCACCACUUGCUCUUUGCGAAAGAGACUGCAGGAAAACGUGCCUUGCUUAGGAAUGACAUGCUCACCCAGCCUUGCUGAGGCAGGGAUGGCUGCUGAGGGACAGGUGUAUCUUAGAAAGUCCUUGCCCAGAGUCUGUGCCCUGGGUCAAGCAUCAGUAUGGCCACCACCACAUGUGAGGGCUAUGGCGUGCUGUGUUCCUGGGCAGGACUGCAUCCUUGCAUCACUGCAAAGAGACUGGAAUCUGAGUGAUGGCUGAUGGAUUGAUGAAGAAGGCGAACAACCAAGAGCAAAGAGGAGCUGGAGCCGAUGGGAGGAAUGCAGUGCCCACGAAGAGGUGCUGUUCUAGGCUGAAUCUGCCUUGUACUUGCAGAGGCACCCUGGGUACAUGGACCCUCACCCUUUGGCUUCAACGUGUGCUGCCUGGGAGCUCUGGGAGACUCUGCAUAGGCAUGAAAAACCGAGAAGAGACUGCAGCCCUAGUCACGGCUGCUGUGCCUUUCUGUUUUGUUGCUAAAGCAGCAAGAUUUACUUUGCAUGGAGGAUUCAACCAUGAAGGGAGUCUGAAAGCCCACAUUAUAAAGGGUGGCCGGGUACAGUGUUCCCCAGCUCUGAUGUUACAUGAAUCUAGAUGGAGGCAUGAAAAAAGAAUGGGUGCUGGGAAAGGAGCAGCAGGAGAAAAAGAAAUUCCUGCAACAAA
Molecule: long non-coding RNA, 2447 nt
Organism: Peromyscus leucopus (white-footed mouse)
Lineage: Eukaryota; Metazoa; Chordata; Mammalia; Rodentia; Cricetidae
Exons: 3
Source: RefSeq, a predicted model, not a curated record